RNAcentral lists this ribosomal RNA (767 nucleotides) under uncultured bacterium. Its description in RNAcentral is "bacterial SSU rRNA". It matches the Rfam family "Bacterial small subunit ribosomal RNA", at positions 59 to 839 of the family's 1533-position model. The record is from RNAcentral.
CAGUCGAGCGAAACCACUUCGGUGGGAAGCGGCGAACGGGUGAGUAACACGUAGGUGAUCUGCCCAUCAGACGGGGACAACGAUUGGAAACGAUCGCUAAUACCGGAUAGGACGAAAGUUUAAAGAUGCUCCUGGCAUCACUGAUGGAUGAGCCUGCGGCGCAUUAGCUAGUUGGUGGGGUAAAGGCCUACCAAGGCGACGAUGCGUAGCCGACCUGAGAGGGUGAACGGCCACACUGGGACUGAGACACGGCCCAGACUCCUACGGGAGGCAGCAGUAGGGAAUCUUCGGCAAUGGGCGAAAGCCUGACCGAGCAACGCCGCGUGAAUGAAGAAGGCCUUCGGGUUGUAAAAUUCUGUUAUAAGGGAAGAAAGGUGAUAGGAGGAAAUGACUAUCAAUUGACGGUACCUUAUGAGAAAGCCACGGCUAACUACGUGCCAGCAGCCGCGGUAAUACGUAGGUGGCAAGCGUUAUCCGGAAUUAUUGGGCGUAAAGAGCGCGCAGGUGGUUAAUUUAGUCUGAUGUGAAAGCCCACGGCUUAACCGUGGAGGGUCAUUGGAAACUGGUUGACUUGAGUGCAGAAGAGGGAAGUGGAAUUCCAUGUGUAGCGGUGAAAUGCGUAGAGAUAUGGAGGAACACCAGUGGCGAAGGCGGCUUCCUGGUCUGCAACUGACACUGAGGCGCGAAAGCGUGGGGAGCAAACAGGAUUAGAUACCCUGGUAGUCCACGCCGUAAACGAUGAGUGCUAAGUGUUGGGGGUCGAACCU